This 326-nucleotide long non-coding RNA is filed under the name Hordeum vulgare. RNAcentral's name for it is "long non-coding RNA (HVUL_LNC018826)". Lineage: Eukaryota; Viridiplantae; Streptophyta; Magnoliopsida; Poales; Poaceae. The record is from RNAcentral.
AAAGAGUUGGCUUACACUCGCCACAAGCUACAUCAGAGUCACAUCAGUACAUUACAUAAUCAUCAAGAGUAAGAGCAGGGUCCGACUACGGACGAAAACAAACGAAAAAAGAAGAACGACGUCCAUCCUUGCUAUCCCAGGCUGCCGGCCUGGAACCCAUCCUAGAUCGAUGAAGUAGUAGAAGAAGAAGAAGCAACUCCAAAUGAACAAUCAACGUGCUCGCGUCAAGUAACCUCUACCUGUACCUGCAACUAGUGUUGUAGUAAUCUGUGAGCCACAGGGGACUCAGCAAUCUCAUUUCCAAAGGUAUCAAGACUAGCAAAGCU